UUAAGCAUAGAGGUUUUCCCACAGCUUACGUCACAUUGCUUAAACCUAUCAGUUAUUUUCAGUAAUUAAACUUGAAACAAUAUAUUAAUAAUCAGGCAUUGAUUAUGUGACCUAAAGUUGUGUUGUUGAAUGUAACUGAAUUAAAAGAAUGUGAUUGUCUGAAAAGAAAUAAUAAAAAUGACUCUGGACUCAAAUCUUUUUUCCUAUUUGUGGUGAGUUAUACCGGUCAUCUGAAGAAGUGGGCUGUGCCCAUGAAAGCUCAUGAUACCAUCUACAUGUUUUGUUAGUCUAUAAAGUGCUACUAGUUUUUUUAUACUACUAGUGUUGCUGGUUUUUUAUACUUGGUGACGAUAGUGUUUAAAGCAGGAUUUGACUGUUCUUUUUAAGGUGCCUCUACACUGCACGGCUAUUUCAAAAUAAGUUAUUCGAGAAUAGUUCAUUGUUAAAUAGCACAUCUACGCUGCAGGUAAGCCUCAAAAUUAGUCUGAGGCAGGCUUCUCGAAUGUAGAUGUGCUAUCUCGAUUUAGAGCCCCAGGAAGCACUGGGGAGGAAUAACUUAGAAUGGCCCGGGGGAAGGGCUAUUUUGAAAUAGCAGCAGUGGAGCCUCUACACACGCCUUAUUUCAUAAUAGCUAUUUCAGAACAAGUGUUAUUCCUCAUAGAAUGAGGUUUACAGAUUUUGGAAUAAGCCGCUUGUUAUUUUGAAAUUAUUUUGAAAUAACAGAAUGGCUGUGUAGAUGCUUGCGUUAUUUUGAAAUGACGUGAGUUAUCUCGAAAUAAUGGUGCAGUGCAGAUGCACUCCUACUUAAGAUUGUUACACAGGAAUAAUUAGAUAGAGGGACUUCACAGCUGUUACCAGGUGUAGAAAUUGGUCUAUAUGACUUUUAUUUUUCAUGGCACAUGAGUGAGAAAAAAACAAAAAAAGCAAUUCAGCGUGAUUCUCCAGGGACUGUAGGCUAUUGUUGGAAUUGUAAGCAUCAUAUUAUUUAACCUUAUUCAGUAUGUGUAAUUGACAUAGUACUUAAAGAACCAAGUUUGAGGUUUUGGCUUUUUUACACUAGAACUCUCAGUAUUGUUAACCAGUGGAACUGAACUGUAGACAGAGACUUACGCUUGGUUUACGCUGGAAGUUUAGGUCAGACUUUGCUGCAUUAGGAUGAUUUUUGCACUACCAAGCCAUUCUGUCAACUUAAAAGGCCGUUAAAGUCAAUUUCUGCACUCCUGCUUUCACAAAGAGUAACCGUUAAAUUCAAUCUUGCAUGGUCGACUUUCUGAUAGUCCCGCAUGGGAGAGGUAGUACUGCCUGAGAGUUUUUACCAGACAGGAUACUGGGAGGCAUGAGGCCUCAGGCAAGCAAAGGUUAAUAUCAAACUGACUUGAAAUUAGACAUUAGAUUAAAUUCAGCAGACCAAAACUUUUCAAUUCAAGUUAACCUGUCAUGAAACAAAAAUGUCAUUUUGAUUUUUCCAACAUAGUUUUGAUUUUUGCAGAAACUGGAUUUUCUGAUUCCAAAAUAUGUUGACAGAAGUUUUCUACUCAACUUUAGAGAGUGUCCUCUCAUAGAAACCUUUAAAAAAAAAAGAAGAAGAAAGCUAAGAUUCCUCUGUUUGGAUCAAAAUCUUUUGGAGGAAGAAGCCCUGACGGCCCCAUGUUGAGCAAGGCUGAGUUUGUUGAGAAAGUUCGUCAGAGUAACCAGGCCUGUCAUGAUGGCGAUUUUCAUACAGCUAUUAUGCUGUACAAUGAAGCUCUGGAAGUUGACCCUCAGAAUUGUAUCCUGUACAGUAACCGAUCUGCAGCAUACAUGAAAAUCAAGCAGUACGACAAGGCACUAGAUGAUGCAAUCAAAGCACGACUCCUAAAUCCUAAGUGGCCAAAGGUAGGAAAGCCAGUUUCCCCUUUGGUGAGAGACUCUUUCUGGGGGAGUUUCAGCUAUUUUAAAAGUACUAAGGCUUUAAUUAUUUUGUUGUAAUGCAGUUAGACAUAAAUCAUUUUGUGCUUAUGGUUCACUUUUCUGGAGCUCUGGAGAAUAGAAAUCCUUCUGUGUUAAAAACUGCUUGACUUCUCUGAGUUUCCUGUUGAGAGUAAAACUAUUUUUUGUGUAAACAGACAUUUGCCCAUUAUUCCUAAAUUGCCUGGCAGGGAUUCCUAUUUAUUGAUCUUGUAAAUAUUUUGGAUUCAGCCUUUUAAACAAAUGUCAUUCACAGCGUGUGAAGAUCAGACAUGUCUCUUAACAUUUACAGUAAUAAAUAUUCAGCAGCAGCAAGGAAUAUCUCACUCUGACAGCUUCAGGAGAGCAGUCUGCAGGAUGAACCAUGCUGAAGUGUCUGUUGUUGGUAAUGGGGCAUUACAGUAGAAAACUAAGGACUUUAGCUUAGAUCACUAUCUCCUGUUUUUCUUGAAAUUUAGUUUUUCUAGAGCUGUCCUAUUCUUUGGUAUCUUUUCUUGAUGAUUUUUGAAGAAAUUCCAUAUGGCCCA
Pelodiscus sinensis (Chinese soft-shelled turtle) is the source of this 2474-nucleotide non-coding RNA. NCBI's taxonomy places the organism in Eukaryota, Metazoa, Chordata, Testudines, Trionychidae. The record is from RefSeq and is a predicted model, not a curated record.